Molecule: ribosomal RNA, 510 nt
Filed under: uncultured bacterium
Lineage: Bacteria
Description: bacterial SSU rRNA
Rfam family: Bacterial small subunit ribosomal RNA
Source: RNAcentral
ACAGUGGGGAAUUUUGGACAAUGGGGGAAAGCCUGAUCCAGCCAUACCGCGUGAGUGAAGAAGGCCUUCGGGUUGUAAAGCUCUUUCAGCUGGGAAGAAACGGUUGUGGUUAAUAUUCGCAACUAAUGACGGUACCAGCAGAAGAAGCACCGGCUAACUACGUGCCAGCAGCCGCGGUAAUACGUAGGGUGCGAGCGUUAAUCGGAAUUACUGGGCGUAAAGCGUGCGCAGGCGGUUUUAUAAGCCAGAUGUGAAAUCCCCGGGCUCAACCUGGGAACUGCAUUUGGAACUGUAAGACUAGAGUAUAGCAGAGGGAGGUAGAAUUCCACGUGUAGCAGUGAAAUGCGUAGAUAUGUGGAGGAAUACCAAUGGCGAAGGCAGCCUCCUGGGUUAAUACUGACGCUCAUGCACGAAAGCGUGGGAGCAAACAGGAUUAGAUACCCUGGUAGUCCACGCCCUAAACGAUGUCAACUAGUGUUGGAAGGGAACUUUUUAUAACGUAGCAAACGC